AACGUCGCUUUGUCUAUACGUAUAGAACUUUACAAUCAAGUUUGUUUUCAAUUGAAUAUAUUUUAUUUUGCAAUUUUUCUUUGUAUCUCACGUGGCCAUAAAUAAAUAAAACGUACAUAAGCAGUUUCACAAAGAAUGUAUUGUGAUAUUAGUAUGUAUAUACAAAAGGAACAUAAAUAACAGAAAAUAUAUAUUAGAUAAAAGUUAUUGCGAGAAUUAAAUAAAGAAAAAGAAAAAGGAGAGUAGCAUGGAACAGCAAAGCGAAAAACAUGUUCAAGAAUAAACAGUAGAACAUUUAGUAAAGAAAAUUGUAACGAGAAUACAAAAGAAGACGACGGUCGUCUUUUAAAUAUGGUCGAGAAAACAACAACGAUAACAGAAAAGAAGAAACACAGGCCAAGAGAAGAGAAAGAAUAAAGAGUCAAACGCCAACUAUAAGUAACUCGAAGCUUUUUCAAAACACAACGAAUCAAAACAAUCAACAAAUACGUAGAGUAAAGUAGAAAAUAAUAAAAAAUAUAUUUAAUGUGUAUUAGGUUUGUUGUCGAUUCUUGUGUGUCCGCUCGUGCAACAACAAUUCCGAACAGCGACAACGCUUUAAUAAUAACUCAGUGAUUUCGGUGUGGUAGUCAAGUUUUUAAUUUUCUUGUCGUAGCGGCUGGCCUUUCAGUCCUUAAAAUUUAUUUAAGCUAUUCGAUGAUCUUUGCAUUCUUUGCCUGGCUUGCUCUUAACUCCAGCACAGAAAGCAAUUUGAAUAGUGGUGUUAAAAAUUUUGCCUCCGUUUCUUUAAACCCGGAUUUCUUAAAACGAACAAGAAAAGUAAAGUAAAAAAAAAAACGACAGGCAGCAAAAUCAAAAAAACUGAGUUAACAAGCAAAA
Molecule: long non-coding RNA, 879 nt
Organism: Glossina fuscipes
Lineage: Eukaryota; Metazoa; Arthropoda; Insecta; Diptera; Glossinidae
Exons: 2
Source: RefSeq, a predicted model, not a curated record